UUUAACUCUCGUCUGUUUUCCAUCAUAGGGCUGCCAGUGACGCUAUGAUAGAGAUGAGAAGGAGAGUAGCUAUCUGACGUAAAUUUGACCGGACUAAAGCCAGCGAUGCUAUUUUCCGGUAAAUUUUACCAUAACAAUGACCAAAUAAUGGUCGUCAUUGGCCGGAUCUAAUUUUUAUUGGCUUUUAUUUGGUGAAUUUGGAUGGAUUACCGGGCGGAAUGUCUUUAUCAGUGAGAAAGAGAGAAGAACAAGGGGACGACGGCGGUGCAAAUAGGCUUCACCGGCCGGUGGUGAAGGUAGGUGGCGGUGGCGAUGGUUUCAGGGAGGUUUCCGGCGACAUUGGUUCAGUCGAAAGUCGCAGAGUUAGGGAAGAGGAAGACGACGUAGGCGCGGGUGUUUUCGGCUGGUGGGUGGUAGUUGGGUCAUUUUUCUGUCAGUUUCCGGAAAGAAACUCGCCG
Molecule: long non-coding RNA, 458 nt
Filed under: Capsicum annuum
Lineage: Eukaryota; Viridiplantae; Streptophyta; Magnoliopsida; Solanales; Solanaceae
Description: long non-coding RNA (CANN_LNC022166)
Source: RNAcentral